AAGGGUAUAGCUCAGUGGUGGAGCACAUGCUUAGCAUGUGCAAAGGUCCUGGGUUCAGUUCUCAGUACUUUCA
This 73-nucleotide transfer RNA is filed under the name Camelus ferus (Wild Bactrian camel). It matches the Rfam family "tRNA". From Rfam's summary of the family: Transfer RNA (tRNA) molecules are approximately 80 nucleotides in length. Their secondary structure includes four short double-helical elements and three loops (D, anti-codon, and T loops). Further hydrogen bonds mediate the characteristic L-shaped molecular structure. tRNAs have two regions of fundamental functional importance: the anti-codon, which is responsible for specific mRNA codon recognition, and the 3' end, to which the tRNAs corresponding amino acid is attached (by aminoacyl-tRNA synthetases). tRNAs cope with the degeneracy of the genetic code in two manners: having more than one tRNA (with a specific anti-codon) for a particular amino acid; and 'wobble' base-pairing, i.e. permitting non-standard base-pairing at the 3rd anti-codon position. The record is from Rfam by way of RNAcentral. Lineage: Eukaryota; Metazoa; Chordata; Mammalia; Artiodactyla; Camelidae.